Molecule: ribosomal RNA, 216 nt
Filed under: uncultured bacterium
Lineage: Bacteria
Description: partial 16S ribosomal RNA
Rfam family: Bacterial small subunit ribosomal RNA
Source: RNAcentral
UACAGAGGUCUCGAGCGUUAGGCGGAAUCACUGGGCUUAAAGCGUGUGUAGGCGGGUCGUUAAGUGCCUUGUGAAAUCCCAUGGCUCAACCAUGGAACUGCUGGGCAUACUGGCGAUCUUGUGCCACCUAGGGGCGAGCGGAACAGAUGGUGGAGCGGUGAAAUGCGUAGAUAUCAUCUGGAACGCCAAGUGGUGAAAACAGCUCGCUGGGGGUGU